RNAcentral lists this ribosomal RNA (484 nucleotides) under uncultured bacterium. Its description in RNAcentral is "partial 16S ribosomal RNA". It matches the Rfam family "Bacterial small subunit ribosomal RNA", at positions 29 to 507 of the family's 1533-position model. The record is from RNAcentral.
AGUGAACGCUGGCGGCAGGCCUAACACAUGCAAGUCGAGCGGACGAAUGGAGCUUGCUCCCGGAUGCCGCGGCGGACGGGUGGGUAAUGCCUAUGAGUCUGCCUUACCUUUGGGGAUAACGUCCUGAUACGGAAGCUGAUCUCGCACACGACCAGAUAUAGAAAGUGGGGGUUCUUCGGUCCUAUCGCUUUCUGAUGAGCCUAAGGGGGAUUAGCUAGUUGGAGGGGUAAAUGCAUACCGAGGCGACGAUGCGUAACUGGCAUGAGAGGGCGACCAGGCACACUGGAAGUGAGACACGCUCCAGACUCCUACGGGAGGCAGCAGUGGGGAAUCUUGGGCAAUGGGCGAAAGCCUGAUCCAGCGAAGCCGCGUGAGUGAUGAAGGUCUUCGGAGUGUAAAGCGCUGUAAGUUGGGAGGAAGGAAAGUAAGUUCACCCGUGGCUGUAUUGACGGUACCCAGAGAAGAAGCACCGGCUAACUUCGUG